AUUUUCUGUUGAUGCUUCUUCAAACCAAAUGCUAGCCCAUUUAAAUCUUGGUGGCUACUCCAAUGAAGAUUUUAUGAUUGUCAUCAUGUGAAGAUAUUUCAUUUUGACUAUUAGAUGAUAGAUU
Molecule: non-coding RNA, 124 nt
Organism: Arachis ipaensis
Lineage: Eukaryota; Viridiplantae; Streptophyta; Magnoliopsida; Fabales; Fabaceae
Source: RefSeq, a predicted model, not a curated record